UAGGGAAUCUUCCACAAUGGACGAAAGUCUGAUGGAGCAACGCCGCGUGAGUGAAGAAGGUCUUCGGAUCGUAAAGCUCUGUUGUUGGUGAAGAAGGAUAGAGGCAGUAACUGGUCUUUAUUUGACGGUAAUCAACCAGAAAGCCACGGCUAACUACGUGCCAG
RNAcentral lists this ribosomal RNA (164 nucleotides) under uncultured bacterium. RNAcentral's name for it is "partial 16S rRNA". It matches the Rfam family "Bacterial small subunit ribosomal RNA", at positions 355 to 511 of the family's 1533-position model. The record is from RNAcentral.